RNAcentral lists this non-coding RNA (83 nucleotides) under Thalassocella blandensis. Its description in RNAcentral is "Teredinibacter sp. ISS155 c-di-GMP-I". It matches the Rfam family "c-di-GMP-I riboswitch aptamer". From Rfam's summary of the family: GEMM was predicted in a large-scale screen for bacterial structured RNA regulatory elements. Genes associated with GEMM are involved in a diverse array of functions, including chemotaxis regulation, signal transduction, secretion and chitin. The record is from RNAcentral. Lineage: Bacteria; Pseudomonadati; Pseudomonadota; Gammaproteobacteria; Cellvibrionales; Cellvibrionaceae.
AAUAAAUAAAGGCAAAACCGGAGUAAUUCGGUGACGCAAAGCCAGUGCCCUAGCCAGUCAGGAAGGGUCGAACGGUUACCAAG